This is a non-coding RNA of Podarcis lilfordi (Lilford's wall lizard), 144 nucleotides long. Lineage: Eukaryota; Metazoa; Chordata; Lepidosauria; Squamata; Lacertidae. The record is from the annotation of a GenBank genome assembly.
GCUGCACAGAGAGGGAGAGCUGCACAGCGCCCCUUCAGCGAAGCGGGAGGAGGAACAGAAGGAGCCCCUUCUGUUCCUCCUCCGGCUUCGCAGGACAGACGCCCCGCUAAAGGGGCGCUGCACAGCUCUCCCUCUCUGCACAGC